Mobula hypostoma (lesser devil ray) is the source of this 609-nucleotide long non-coding RNA. RefSeq lists it as uncharacterized. The transcript is spliced from 5 exons. The record is from RefSeq and is a predicted model, not a curated record. NCBI's taxonomy places the organism in Eukaryota, Metazoa, Chordata, Chondrichthyes, Myliobatiformes, Myliobatidae.
AGAGUCUCCAUGUCUUCUCUGUGACUGUUUCCUCCCGCAUGCUGUUUGCUAACUUAAUUUGCUGUAGUGUACCUGGUGGAGUCUGAUCGGGGAGAGACUGUUAAUAAUAUAAAGAUCAGUCUCCGAUGGGAUAAAAUAAUCGUCUUAACAUCAAGAGCCACUGCUAUAUUACAGAGCAUAUAUAAUCAUCAUCAUCAUCUGUUGUAAAACAAGAAAACUUCCAAGGAUGCUGCCUGGCCUGCUGAGUUUCUCCAGCAUUUUGUGUGCAUUGCUUGAAAAGGGCUGUUUAAUCGCGAUCCCCAUAAAAUCUGACAGAGCUUGAACAGCUUUGUAAAGAAGAAUGGGGAAAAAUUGCAGUGACUGGACGUGCAAAGCUGAUAGAGACCUAUCCACACAGACUCAAGGCUGUAAUUGCCUCCGAAGAUUACUGUGGAGGAUCCAGGUAAAUUACAUAUUCAGUAAAGUUCUUCAAACACCACCAACCUCAUCCCCAAUGCCCCAAAAAUAGAUUUGAAGGUUUUCAACAUUUCUCUAUCUCAGUGUCCAUCAACUUCAAAGAGAUUUUAUCACCCACAAACCCACAAGGAGCAAUUUAAAAACCAAUUAACC